This is a long non-coding RNA of Manis pentadactyla (Chinese pangolin), 1470 nucleotides long. RefSeq lists it as uncharacterized. The record is from RefSeq and is a predicted model, not a curated record. Lineage: Eukaryota; Metazoa; Chordata; Mammalia; Pholidota; Manidae. The transcript has 4 exons.
GAGGGGGAGGUAGAGGAGGGGAUGCGAAAGUGGGUCAAGAAUGUAACUGGACGCUGCGCACCCCCCACACAGACACCACCACCACCACCACCACCACCACCCCUUUGCCCGCGAGGCGCCCGCGCCAGCCUUGGAAAGCGAGUCUUGCUGUUGUGGUUCCCCAGCGUUAUCGGUGGACGGUUACCAGGGAUCCCGGGGGAUGUGUUUCCCUGUGACCCUUUGGGAAGAAAAACUCCGUUGCCUCAGUAACCGAGUUUGGCUUGGCUGCAGUGAUGCAGUGAGUGUUCUAGUGGACCUUAGCUACAGCGUGAAGGACAGCAGCUUUGGGAGCAAGGCCCAAAAGAGCCAUGCAGCCCCAGACUCUGAAGAAAUGUGCAACUGCUGAAGUUUUAUUCUGAAGCAAAAAGGGGGAAUUGACAGCUCUGUUGGUCUCCUUAAAUGAUAUCAUUUGUUUUGCAAGUGUUUGUGUCCCAAAAGAGUUUUAUAAUUUUCUUUAUAAAACUAUAUACAGUUGACUCAUGAAAACAGGGAUUAGGAGCGCCGACCAUCCCUGGGCACUUGAAAAUCCAGGUAUAACAUUUGACUCCCUGAAAACUUAACUAUUAAUUGCCUAUUAAUCAGAAAUCUUACAGAUAACAUAAACAGUUGAUUAACACACAGUUGGUAUGCUAUGUAUUAUAUACUGUGUUUUUACUAUAAAGUAAGCUAGAGAAAAGAAAAUGUUUAUUCAAAUUGUUGCACAUUUCCAAAAAAAUUCCCAACAUAUUAAUUGAAAAAAAUCUACGUAUAGAUGGACCCAUGCAGUUCAAGCCUGUGUUGUUCAAGGGUUAACUGUAUAAUAAAAAAUAUAUUACUAUACACAUGUAUUACAAUAUAUUACUAAAUACAUAUAGUAUGUAUUCCUAGGAACCUUAAAAGUUUUUAUUCUAUUGUAAAUGUCAUUUUUAAAGUUUUUUGGAGGGUAUGCAAUAGUAUUGUGUUUUGAUUUAGAAUGUUUUAUAAGCUGAUUUUGGUAAUUUUUUAUUAAUAAUUACUAAGCACUUGUGAGAGUAGGCAGGAAACAUGCACAUGGGCAUCUGGGUGCUUGCCCUGCCACAAGUAUUGCCCUGGUUUCCCAGAGGGAACAUUUUACCCAUUUUGCGGAAUUUUAAGCUGUUGUAUCUCACUGACUUCUGUCGUUGAAACCUGUCUGAGAAUUUUGGCAGUCUGGGGCAGUCUGUACAUCAGGCUGCUUUCAAUUCAUAAUUUCUUCUGAGUUUUUGAGAUCAUUAUAUUUCAGUGCUGGUUUAUAGAGCACCCAAAGUAUACUUGAGACCUUUUCAGAUCUUAUUUCCAAUGCUUAUUUUUCCUUAAAUUCUGUACUGAAGGUGCUGCACCCUUUGACAGUGGAGUGGCAGCUUUACCCAAGGACUUGCAUCCAGCGUUGAGUAAGCUUUCCCUGGGUGGAAACGCACAUUGCUCCUUUUUAUA